UGCGUGCCUUUGAGCCCCUCGCCGCGCCUGCGGUGGCGCGGGGGUCAGGCUGCAGGAGCACAGCAAGCACGCCGCGCGCAAUAAAA
This 86-nucleotide small nucleolar RNA is filed under the name Camelus dromedarius (Arabian camel). The record is from RNAcentral. Lineage: Eukaryota; Metazoa; Chordata; Mammalia; Artiodactyla; Camelidae.